RNAcentral lists this ribosomal RNA (427 nucleotides) under uncultured prokaryote. Its description in RNAcentral is "bacterial SSU rRNA". It matches the Rfam family "Bacterial small subunit ribosomal RNA", at positions 355 to 774 of the family's 1533-position model. The record is from RNAcentral.
UGGGGAAUAUUGGACAAUGGGCGAAAGCCUGAUCCAGCCAUGCCGCGUGUGUGAAGAAGGUCUUCGGAUUGUAAAGCACUUUAAGUUGGGAGGAAGGGCAGUAAGUUAAUACCUUGCUGGUUUGACGUUACCAACAGAAUAAGCACCGGCUAACUUCGUGCCAGCAGCCGCGGUAAUACGAAGGGUGCAAGCGUUAAUCGGAAUUACUGGGCGUAAAGCGCGCGUAGGUGGUUCAGCAAGUUGGAUGUGAAAUCCCCGGGCUCAACCUGGGAACUGCAUCCAAAACUACUGGGCUAGAGUACGGUAGAGGGUGGUAGAAUUUCCUGUGUAGCGGUGAAAUGCGUAGAUAUAUGAAGGAAUACCAGUGGCGAAGGCGACCACCUGGACUGAUACUGACACUGAGGUGCGAAAGCGUGGGGAGCAAACA